AGUCCAACUCCUUGAAGGAGCUCACCAUGGCCUGGGCUGUGUAUUUCAUGGUACUUCUCAGUUACUGCUCAGGGGUCAUCUCACAGUCAACGUUGACUCAACCUGCCUCCCAGUCAGUACCCCAGGGACAAACUAUCAAAAUCUCCUGCACUGCCAGCAGUAGCGUGGGCACUGUUUCCUGGUAUCAACAGAAACCUGGACAGGCCCCUCGCUUUGUGGACUGUGAUGCUUGCAGCAGCAGGGGAUCUGGCAUCCCAGAUCGGUUCACUGCAACCCGCUCUGGGACCACAGGAUAUUUAACCAUCACCAGCAUUGAAACUGAAGACGAUGCCGAUUACUACUGCGGCCAACGGUCUCCUGAAGCGUCUUUUGGAACUCUCUGUCAUCAUGGAAGCUAG
Non-coding RNA from Elgaria multicarinata webbii, 398 nucleotides. The record is from the annotation of a RefSeq genome assembly. NCBI's taxonomy places the organism in Eukaryota, Metazoa, Chordata, Lepidosauria, Squamata, Anguidae.